CUCGUAGGCGGUUCGGUAAGUCGGGUGUGAAAACUCUGGGCUCAACCCAGAGCCGCCACCUGAUACUGCUGUGACUCGAGUGCGGUAGGGGAGCGGGGAAUUCCUGGUGUAGCGGUGAAAUGCGCAGAUAUCAGGAGGAACACCAGUGGCGAAGGCGCCGCUCUGGGCCGUGACUGACGCUGAGGAGCGAAAGCGUGGUAGCAAACA
Molecule: ribosomal RNA, 207 nt
Filed under: uncultured bacterium
Lineage: Bacteria
Description: partial 16S ribosomal RNA
Rfam family: Bacterial small subunit ribosomal RNA
Source: RNAcentral